GAUGAACGCUAGCGGCAGGCUUAAUACAUGCAAGUCGAGGGGCAGCAUGGUGUAGCAAUACACUGAUGGCGACCGGCAAACGGGUGCGGAACACGUACGCAACCUUCCCAAAAAUGGUGAAUAGCCCUUCGAAAGGAGGAUUAAUACACCGUAACAUAAUGAAGUGGCAUCAUUUUAUUAUUAUAGCUCCGGCGGUUUUGGAUGGGCGUGCGACUGAUUAGGUAGUUGGCGGGGUAACGGCCCCCCAAGCCUGCGAUCAGUAAAUGGUGUGAGAGCACGACCAGUCACACGGGCACUGAGACACGGGCCCGACUCCUACGGGAGGCAGCAGUAGGGAAUAUUGGACAAUGGGCGAAAGCCUGAUCCAGCCAUGCCGCGUGAUAGAUGAAGGCCCUUUGGGUUGUAAAUAUUUUUUAUUUGGGAAGAAACCCCUCGUUUUUUCGAGGCUUGACGGUACCAGAGGAAUAAGCACCGGCUAACUCCGUG
RNAcentral lists this ribosomal RNA (486 nucleotides) under uncultured bacterium. RNAcentral's name for it is "bacterial SSU rRNA". It matches the Rfam family "Bacterial small subunit ribosomal RNA", at positions 28 to 507 of the family's 1533-position model. The record is from RNAcentral.